Molecule: transfer RNA, 71 nt
Filed under: Careproctus marginatus
Lineage: Eukaryota; Metazoa; Chordata; Actinopteri; Perciformes; Liparidae
Description: tRNA-Gln
Rfam family: tRNA
About the family: Transfer RNA (tRNA) molecules are approximately 80 nucleotides in length. Their secondary structure includes four short double-helical elements and three loops (D, anti-codon, and T loops).
Source: RNAcentral
UAGGAAAUGGUGUAGUGGAAGCACUGAAAGUUUUGAUCUUUCUAGGUAGGGUUCGAGCCCCUUUUUUCUAA